GAUGAACGCUGGCGGCGUGCUUAACACAUGCAAGUCGAACGAAGCACUUUAUUUGAUUUUUUCGGAAUGAAGAUUUUGUGACUGAGUGGCGGACGGGUGAGUAACGCGUGGGUAACCUGCCUUGUACAGGGGGAUAACAGUUGGAAACGGCUGCUAAUACCGCAUAAGCGCACAGCAUCGCAUGAUGCAGUGUGAAAAACUCCGGUGGUAUAAGAUGGACCCGCGUUGGAUUAGCUAGUUGGUGAGGUAACGGCCCACCAAGGCGACGAUCCAUAGCCGACCUGAGAGGGUGACCGGCCACAUUGGGACUGAGACACGGCCCAAACUCCUACGGGAGGCAGCAGUGGGGAAUAUUGCACAAUGGGCGAAAGCCUGAUGCAGCGACGCCGCGUGAGCGAAGAAGUAUUUCGGUAUGUAAAGCUCUAUCAGCAGGGAAGAUAAUGACG
Molecule: ribosomal RNA, 446 nt
Filed under: uncultured bacterium
Lineage: Bacteria
Description: bacterial SSU rRNA
Rfam family: Bacterial small subunit ribosomal RNA
Source: RNAcentral